GUAUUUAUUUUUGGUUAUUUCGCAAGAGAUAACCAAGAGAUUUGAGGUGUCUCUUUCUGAGAAAGAGUACCUUUAAUGUUAUAGCCUCUUUUGUGGUAAAACAACUCUGCAGAACAGUAUUUGAAUGGAACUUUGGUUUCUUUAAUGCCUAAUACGCAGACUUACCUAUUGAAAAGGGGGUCCAUAAACUAUAAGUAGUACCUCGGUGCUGCUUGAA
RNAcentral lists this unclassified non-coding RNA (217 nucleotides) under uncultured fungus. RNAcentral describes it as "sequence contains ITS2". Lineage: Eukaryota; Fungi. The record is from RNAcentral.